GACUAUGCACAAUUUAUCCUUGUCAGUCUGAUCUAAUUCGAUCUCAGAAGCUAAGCAAAACUGGGCCUGGUUAGUACUUGGAUGGGAGACUAUUGGGAAUACCAGGUGCCACAGUGG
Molecule: ribosomal RNA, 117 nt
Filed under: Periophthalmus magnuspinnatus
Lineage: Eukaryota; Metazoa; Chordata; Actinopteri; Gobiiformes; Gobiidae
Source: RNAcentral